This 548-nucleotide long non-coding RNA is filed under the name Homo sapiens (human). Its description in RNAcentral is "HSALNT0115367". The record is from RNAcentral. Lineage: Eukaryota; Metazoa; Chordata; Mammalia; Primates; Hominidae.
GCAUGUUGGGUCAGUUGGUCUUAUCCAGCUUGGUCCACACCCUGUUUUCGAGGGUCUUAUUUGCCCUUAGCCUCUGCAGAUAUUUCAACAGUUUCCCUUUGCUAGUCAUCUGAAACUGCCACCUGGAAUUUUCUACUCUCCUGUGACCACCUUGAUUUAUUCCUGUCUCAGUAUUUAUAAGGAAAGGGAUGCAUAGCAAGUUUAAAUAUCUUGCAGAAGGACACACAGUUUGCAAGUGAAGGAGCUCUAAUUCGAAGACUGGUGGUCUGCAUCCAGAGUUGAUCAUCCUAAAUACCAUGCUGAACUGGUUGCUCCCAAAGACUGAACAGUAUUUUUUACAAUAAGAUAUUCAUUUGUACGUCAACAAAUAGUUGCCAAUUCUUUGUAAAAUAAAAUACAAUGAACUGAAUAAAAUUUAAUACAUCAGAGUAAAUUUUACAUAGAAAAGUAUGUAUUAUUUUCUUUUAGUUAUGCAAUUCCACUUAUAUGAGCUAUCUAGUGUAGUCAAACUCACAAAAACAGAAAGUAAAAUAGUGGGCUGGGGGAAG